GAUAAUUGCCUGUAUUACUUCCAUCCAUUGUAGUAGCAUUACCAUGACCUUCCCUGAAGAAGUUAAUAAACCUGCAUUUGCAAUUAUUUUCUUUUUUGUUUGUUUUGUUUUGCUUUGGGAGUUAUGGAUAUUUACGUAUUUUGUAUUUCACCAAUGAGCCAAACGGUUAAUUUAGAUUUGUGAUGUCCAGGGAAGAGUUCAGUAGUCCCCUGUAAAGCAUCAGUUUAAAGGGAAGGACUUGACAGGAGACAUACAAUUAACUGGGAGUCCAAUUCUCCAGUCUCCACAGUUAUGAAAAGGAAGAGGUGCUCCCCUUUCAUCACUGAUUUGUUGAUUCUCUCAUUGACUCCAAAUGUCUUAAUUGGGCUUCUACUAUAAAAAUGGAAGCCACCUGGUGACAAGGUCACUGUGCCAGAGAUGAAAGUACGGAGAAUGGAAUUCCCUGAUGUUAAUAUAAUAUAAGUGACCCUGAAAGUUACCUAGUAGCCAAAAGCUUUGUACAAAUUUUAAAUAAGGGUUCAUUAUAUACUUGUUUGCAAGGAGGAACCACCAGCUUUAUCUUUGCAAAUUUGACUCUAAAUUACGAAGAGUUUAACCUGAUGAAAGUAAGGCUCAGAAACACCUGGAAUUUAAGAAGACAAGAUUCUACGCAUUGUCAUCUGCAGAAUAAUUAUUUGUAUUACCAAUGAAUUUGCACACUUUAAUUUUAUGGAAGGAUUUAAUUAUUUUCAGCUGUAGAAAAACUUUUAAGAAGCUUUUUAUUAAAAAAAGAUGAAUACACGAACUGAAAUGUUCACUCUAAAAAUUCAAAGCACAAAACUUUUAAAUUCAUGUAAUAAUGCUGACA
This is a long non-coding RNA of Aethalodelphis obliquidens (Pacific white-sided dolphin), 847 nucleotides long. RefSeq lists it as uncharacterized. The transcript has 4 exons. NCBI's taxonomy places the organism in Eukaryota, Metazoa, Chordata, Mammalia, Artiodactyla, Delphinidae. The record is from RefSeq and is a predicted model, not a curated record.